AUUGAACGCUGGCGGCAGGCCUAACACAUGCAAGUCGAGCGGAUGAAGGGAGCUUGCUCCUGGAUUCAGCGGCGGACGGGUGAGUAAUGCCUAGGAAUCUGCCUGGUAGUGGGGGAUAACGUCCGGAAACGGGCGCUAAUACCGCAUACGUCCUGCGGGAGCAAGUGGGGGAUCUUCGGACCUCACGCUAUCAGAUGAGCCUAGGUCGGAUUAGCUAGUUGGUGGGGUAAAGGCCUACCAAGGCGACGAUCCGUAACUGGUCUGAGAGGAUGGUCAGUCACACUGGAAGGGAGCCAGGGUCCAGACUCCUACGAGAGGCAGCAGUGGGGAAUAUUGGACAAUGGGCGAAAGCAUGGUCCAGCCAUGGCGAGUGUGUGAAGAAGGUCUUCGGAUUGGAAAGCAGUUUAAGUUGGGAGGAAGGGCAGUAAGUUAAUACCUUGCUGUUUUGACGUUACCAACAGAAUAAGCACCGGCUAACUUCGUG
This 484-nucleotide ribosomal RNA is filed under the name uncultured bacterium. RNAcentral describes it as "partial 16S ribosomal RNA". It matches the Rfam family "Bacterial small subunit ribosomal RNA", at positions 30 to 507 of the family's 1533-position model. The record is from RNAcentral.